This is a non-coding RNA of Triticum aestivum (bread wheat), 115 nucleotides long. The record is from Rfam. NCBI's taxonomy places the organism in Eukaryota, Viridiplantae, Streptophyta, Magnoliopsida, Poales, Poaceae.
UAUAUACUCCCUCCAUUCAGAAUUAUUUGUCUUGAAAAUGGAUGUAUCUAGAACUAAAAUACGUAUAGAUACACUCAUUUUCGCGACAAGUAAUUCCGAACGGAGGGAGUAUAUG